UGGGGAAUCUUGCGCAAUGGGGGCAACCCUGACGCAGCAACGCCGCGUGAGCGAUGAAGGUCUUCGGAUCGUAAAGCUCUGUCGGCAGGAACGAUGGGUGGCUUGGCUAAUAUCCAAGUCGCUUGACGGUACCUGCAAAGGAAGCACCGGCUAACUCUGUGCCAGCAGCCGCGGUAAGACAGAGGGUGCAAGCGUUGUUCGGAAUCAUUGGGCGUAAAGGGCGCGUAGGUGGCUGUAUAAGUCAGAUGUGAAAUCCUAGAGCUCAACUCUAGAAGUGCAUCUGAUACUGUAUAGCUUGAGUCUCAGAGAGGAUGGAGGAAUUCCCAGUGUAGAGGUGAAAUUCGUAGAUAUUGGGAGGAACAUCGGUGGCGAAGGCGUCCAUCUGGAUGAAGACUGACACUGAGGCGCGAAAGCGUGGGGAGCAAACAGGAUUAGAUACCCCAGUAGUCCCUGAGCGGGCUGGCAAGGCGC
This 471-nucleotide ribosomal RNA is filed under the name uncultured bacterium. RNAcentral describes it as "bacterial SSU rRNA". It matches the Rfam family "Bacterial small subunit ribosomal RNA", at positions 355 to 823 of the family's 1533-position model. The record is from RNAcentral.